RNAcentral lists this ribosomal RNA (459 nucleotides) under uncultured bacterium. RNAcentral's name for it is "partial 16S ribosomal RNA". It matches the Rfam family "Bacterial small subunit ribosomal RNA", at positions 338 to 795 of the family's 1533-position model. The record is from RNAcentral.
CCUACGGGAGGCAGCAGUGAGGAAUAUUGGUCAAUGGCCGAGAGGCUGAACCAGCCAAGUCGCGUGAGGGAAGACGGCCCUACGGGUUGUAAACCUCUUUUGUCGGGGAGCAAAGCGAGUCACGUGUGCCUCAUUGAGCGUACCCGAAGAAAAAGCAUCGGCUAACUCCGUGCCAGCAGCCGCGGUAAUACGGAGGAUGCGAGCGUUAUCCGGAUUUAUUGGGUUUAAAGGGUGCGCAGGCGGAGGUGCAAGUCAGCGGUCAAAUUGCGGGGCUCAACCCCGUACUGCCGUUGAAACUGCAGCCCUUGAGUGCGCGAGAAGUAGGCGGAAUGCGAGGUGUAGCGGUGAAAUGCAUAGAUAUCACGCAGAACUCCGAUUGCGAAGGCAGCAUACCGGGGCGCAACUGACGCUCAUGCACGAAAGCGUGGGUAUCGAACAGGAUUAGAUACCCCGGUAGUC